CAGGGAGACCUUUGGUCCUCCAUUAGAAGACUCUUGUCAGCUGCUCCCGGGAGGCUCCACAUAUGUGAUCUCAGAACCAUGGGCAAAAAAACUGGAUUCAUACUUCUACUAACGGAUGAGAAGACUUCCUUCAGGACUUCCUGCAAGACUUCAGUUCAAACUGCUUCUAAGGACUCAUGUGAUUAAGCUGAGCCCACCUGGAUGAUCUCCCUAUCUCAAGGUCACCUGAUCAGAAACCUUAAUUGCAUCUGAAGCCUCAAUUCCCUUUUGCCAAGCAAGCCUCCAAGGUGCCAAUUAUGCAGCUCCCUUCCAAGUAAAGUAGCCUUUUCGCAAUUUUUAAAAAUGGUUUAUAAAAGCUUCAUGCUUUGAGUGGAACAAAUUCUGCUGUUUGGAUUGGACCAGCUGGAGCUAAAGGCUGCCUAACAGACAAAUUGCUUCUGGAUGCCAAUCGUCUGGACCUAUAAGAUUGUCUCUGCCUAGGGCAGUUGAAUAGGAGAGACGAAGAGAAAGUAGAAACCCCAGAAGAGAUAGACUGACAGACAGACAGGAUAGGUAGGCAUCAGCUCAGAGUUGCUACUACCUCCUCCCAAUAAGCUCCCCAUUUUCAAAGGUUUCCUGAUCAUGUAUCUGUUUCUUGAAGUCAGUGAAAAUCGCAUUUGGCAUGUUUUAAGGAGGAAUCAUGAGACCUCACCAAACCUCUGAGUCUGUUGUGUUUGCAGGUUAUCUUGGUUAUUAAUAUUUUCCUAUUGAUUUGAUUAUUCAUGAGCUGGAAACACUUCUUCUGAUAGCCAAGUGCUUCUCUUUUGCACCUUAUCACACGCAGCUCCUAUUUACUGACUUUCAGAUAACUAACUCAGAAUUUUUUUGCUCACAAGUUCUGGACAGACUCUGUAUCAUAUCACAUUAUUCCACUUUAUCAGUCUGCAUUUAGAAAGGUGAGGCUGCUCCUAAAUCAAAUUUGUGGGGUCUCCUCCUAUAAAAAUAGAACUCUAUUAAAAGUCAAAGUAGGGGAGGACUCAUGAGGGCUGCUGAGUUACAAGGCCAGCAAACCUCUAAAGAAAAAAAAAGUAGACUAGUUAAUACAUUAAUUCAGGAAAGAAAAAAAGGCAACUAAAUGAAAGAGGACACCUUCAAAUGGUAUUAUUAGUAAUUACUAUUAUAAGACGGAAUAAAAUGGAAGCAGACAGGAAAGACAGAGAAAAGAAAUGGUUCACAAAGCAUUUCUCAGAAAUGUAGAAACAGGAAGAUUUUGAAUCAACCCUUCUUUAUACUCACAAGCUUCAAAGAAUUAUAAAAAGGAUAUUAUAAACAAUAAGCAGCAAACUGGAAAUCAUUACCAACCAAUGGGAUGAAAUAGAAAAUAGGUUUGCAGAUGAGAGUGUAAAGCUAGCCAGACCCAAGAAAUUCCAUAAUUUGGGCUUUAAGACAAGAGAGGAUUGGCAGAAGAGGAAUGUUCUCCAAGGUACAGGUAAAUUUGAAGGAAGUGAAAAAGAAAGUAGGAAGAAAAGAAGAAGAAAACAAAGAAAAAUUCUCAUAACUGUACAGUUCCCAAAGAAUUAUUGUAGAAACAACUUAACAACACCUGCACAGAGAAACCCAAAUAAAGGUGUACCCAGGUAAUUAGUGACUAGAAAUUCUUGAAGUCCAUGUGGAAAGAAAACAUAUGGAAGAAGAAAAAUGUUACCCUGUACAGGCUCAAUAUAAAAAAAAAUAGUACCAUAUUUAGCAACAGCUACUCCAGGCAAAAGUGAAUUUUAUGGUCCCUGAGUUUAAUACACCAACCAAAAUAAGAGCCCAACCCCAGGUUUUGUUUCCAGCCAAAAUGUGUCUUUGCAUUUAAGGGGAAGAGAUGUUUGCACACCUAGGAAGUCUGCAAAAAUUAAUUAAUCUUGUUGCUGAAAGAAAACAUUCAGAGGUCAGAAAAAUUUGUUAUUCUCUUCAUCCCAGGUGGAGUUAAGACAAGGAUCAUACUAGGCUGAGUGACCAACCAUCUCAGCUGUACUGGGACUGAAAGGUUCCCUAGCCUGGGGGACUUGCUGUGCUAUAGACAAGACAGCCCUGAGCUGACUGGUCACCCUAGCACUAUUUUCCUCCAUGUGACAACCUAGGCAAGCUAAUUAGACUUGACAGCCAGUAAAAUUAAGAUAGAGGAUUCUCUAAACUCUUCAGGUACUGAAUUUUCAAGUCUGUUUUUUUCUUCUGUCUUCUAGGAAAGUAUUCCUAGAAAAUUCAGCAUUUAAUCAUUCAUUCAUUCAUCUAGUUAAACAGUAAUUGCAGGCUUUUUAAUGCCUUGGGCUGGGUGUGUAGCUCCAAUGGUAAGCAAGCCUCUGAUUUCAUGGGACUUAGAGGAGAAGCAGGAGAGCCAGGUAUGAAAUACACAAACAGAAAGAUGUGUAUGAUUGGAAAUGUAAUAGAAGGUAUGAAGGGAAAAGACAGCAUGAUAUGAUUGAGAGUGACAGAUGUCAUUUAGACUGUGGGAAGGGGGUUCUGGCCAGUAAUGACCCUCUGAGGAAGGGACAUGAAAGCAGAGACCUGAAGGGUGAGAGGGGAGAGGAGGAAGAUGGAGAAUUAGGCUGCAGCGGUGAAAUGUGUGUCAGGAUGGAGACAGAGGACAAAGAGUGUUCCAGACAGAGGGGCAGCACAUGCAAAAGCCCUGAGGCAGGAAGGAGCUUGGUGAGUUAAAGGAGUUGAGAGAAGGUUAGUAUCUCUCUUAAAACAAAGGGAAAGAGAAAUGAAUUUCUCUUUCAGCUGGAAGAGCCAGAAGUACUGGGAGUGAUGGUGGUAACAGUGGUCCAAGCAGAUUUGGUGAGAGACAGAGACAGAGACACAGACACAGACACAGACACAGAGAGACAGAGACACAUACACAGAGAAAUGGAUCCAAGAAGAAAAGGCUAAAGAUCAGUGGUGGAUAGUGAUCCCUUUUGCCUACACUCUUCUCACAGAAAUUUAAAAUGAAUAUAGCUAUCCCUGAGGUCUCUCUGAUGAACACGCACUAGAACAGGCUCUGAAGUAAAGCUGACAAUAAAAUAAUACAGAGAGUUAGAAGAAUGCGUAGGCAUGGAUAAAACCCUCCUUAAUCUGAGAAUUGACAAAAUGAAGGGAAAAAAUACAAUGGCUUUUUCUAGCUAAGUGCCAGAAUAAUAAGGGAGGUAUUAAAAUAUGGGCAAAAUUUUAGCACUAGUGGAUAGUCCCAUGUCCAGAAGACUCAGAAAUGCCUGAAUAUUGCCUAACAAUCACUUUAAAAGAGCCCCCAGUUACCGGGGACUCUGGCAUAGGAAAACAACAUAUUCUUGCUGAGUUUUUUUUUUUUUGAUGCAAAUGUAUCCAUAAGCUGUCAAUUAUUCAGGCUAAACCUGUAGGGAGAAUUUUUCUAUGCUUCUAAACUCCAUCUUUGGACCUAUGGAAUACUAUAAGUAAAAUCUAUGUGAAGAUGUUGAAAAUGUGUUUUACAGUUGUGAAGAUGAAACAAAAGUAAGAAUACUGGAUUACAGAAACUCAUAAUCACGUUGACAGGGUGGAACGAUUGACCUACCAAGAGGGCAAAAUUUGGCAAUGACAGGAGCCCAAUGGCCAGCCAGGAAGAGCUCAAUGCUGAGGAAGGAAAAGGGCUAGAAGAAGCUUUUCUGUUUAAGAGUCCAGGCUCUGGCUAGUCACAGGCUGCACAGGACCAAGGGAGCAGCCAAGAUGUGCACACGGACACAGUGUGACCUCUGCUUGGGAGACCGAGGCCCAGGUGGGCGGGGUAGCUAUUUCUGCGCAGUCCUCCAGCAAGAGUUCUUUCUGCUCUUUCAUCUGGGGGUCUGUGUAUGCCCUCCCUGGUGGCGCAAGCCUGGGGAUUGGGGUACAAGUGCCACUCAAGGUUCUUGUCAUCUUCUCCUUUGUUUCCAGAACAAGGAACACAAGCUCCCAUAAAACAAUGUCAAGUAACUCUGUCUGUCUGGUUAACUAAAUCUAGGGGCACCUACAUGCCAAACAGCACAGUUAAAAGAAGGCCAAGUACAUAUAUGGAAAAAUUACAGAAAUGUCUUU
This is a non-coding RNA of Vicugna pacos (alpaca), 4032 nucleotides long. The record is from RefSeq and is a predicted model, not a curated record. Lineage: Eukaryota; Metazoa; Chordata; Mammalia; Artiodactyla; Camelidae.